This 239-nucleotide long non-coding RNA is filed under the name Elaeis guineensis (African oil palm). RNAcentral's name for it is "long non-coding RNA (EGUI_LNC015953)". Lineage: Eukaryota; Viridiplantae; Streptophyta; Magnoliopsida; Arecales; Arecaceae. The record is from RNAcentral.
GAGACGCACUGUGAUCUAUAGAUACAGGGUGUGCCAAAGAAAGAUAGAUGGUUUCUAGCUUUGAUUUAUUAUUAUUAUUUUUAUUUUACUUGUGAGAUAAAGCCCUAGAACUAUUUAUGCCCGAAGGGAUGAGCCGUGAUCCAAGAAUACAGGUCAUGCUCAAAUAACGAUAAGCUAUAUCCAAGGCUUAAUUACAAGCAUAUAAUAUUAUGAAAGAAAUACAACUCUAUUUUAUGCAA